ACUCAAAUGAAUUGACGGGGGCCCGCACAAGCGGUGGAGCAUGUGGUUUAAUUCGACGCAACGCGCAGAACCUUACCAGCCCUUGACAUGCCCGUCGGGGGAUUCAGAGAUGAAUCCUUUCAUUUAGUUGGACGGUGCACAGGUGCUGCAUGGCUGUCGUCAGCUCGUGUCGUGAGAUGUUGGGUUAAGUCCCGCAACGAGCGCAACCCUCGCCUCCAGUUGCCAUCAUUAAGUUGGGCACUCUGAAGGGACUGCCGGUGACAAGCCGGAGGAAGGUGGGGAUGACGUCAAGUCCUCAUGGCCCUUACGGGCUGGGCUACACACGUGCUACAAUGGCGGUGACAGUGGGACGCGAAAGCGCAAGCUGGAGCAAAUCCCAAAAAUCCGUCUCAGUUCGGAUUGCACUCUGCAACUCGAGUGCAUGAAGUCGGAAUCGCUAGUAAUCGCGCAACAGCAUGGCGCGGUGAAUACGUUCCCGGGCCUUGUACACACCGCCCGU
This 499-nucleotide ribosomal RNA is filed under the name uncultured bacterium. RNAcentral describes it as "partial 16S ribosomal RNA". It matches the Rfam family "Bacterial small subunit ribosomal RNA", at positions 899 to 1397 of the family's 1533-position model. The record is from RNAcentral.